GACAGAGGUGCCAAGCGUUAGGCGGAAUCACUGGGCUUAAAGCGUGUGUAGGCGGGCUCUCAAGUACCUUGUGAAAUCCCACGGCUCAACCGUGGAACUGCUGGGUAUACUGGGUGCCUUGGGUCAUCUAGGGGCUGCCGGAACAAAUGGUGGAGCGGUGAAAUGCGUAGAUAUCAUUUGGAACGCCAACGGCGAAAGCAGGCAGCUGGGGAUGCACCGACGCUGAGACACGAAAGCCAGGGGAGCGAACGGG
This 253-nucleotide ribosomal RNA is filed under the name uncultured bacterium. RNAcentral describes it as "partial 16S ribosomal RNA". It matches the Rfam family "Bacterial small subunit ribosomal RNA", at positions 524 to 776 of the family's 1533-position model. The record is from RNAcentral.